Molecule: long non-coding RNA, 356 nt
Filed under: Lotus japonicus
Lineage: Eukaryota; Viridiplantae; Streptophyta; Magnoliopsida; Fabales; Fabaceae
Description: long non-coding RNA (LJAP_LNC000592)
Source: RNAcentral
UUAUGUUCUCAUUGAACUGAGGUUUUGUUUUUCUUUUCUUUGCUGUGUUGAUUAUUGAAGCAGCUUACUAAGGUGUCUGAACGGGAAGAACAUUCAGGGUAUUCCAUGUGAGAGCUUGAACAUCACAAAAUAUGAUUGAACACUGAGCAUAGGAAGAGCUAUACGCAGGUUGAGCUUCUCUCAACUCUUUUCCAUUAAAUUUCUUUGAACCUGUUGAUCUCACUGACUUAUCAUUUUUCUUUGGACCUUUUACUAUCACUAAGGUAUGGAGCGACUACUAUUGUGUUUAUUUAGGAGUGCUUUUUGAAUUGCAGGUGAUGACUACAAGAUCAAGGUUUGGAACUAAAAGUUGUACA